GGUGGCCCUAAAUGUAGUGUCAAGGCACAAAUGAAAACCUUUGAGAAUGAGCACUAGUGUGAUAGAGAUUGAUGUGAUAAAUAGCCAUAGACACCAAUUCUCUCAACUCAGGAUGUUGUGCAAGCACCGUCCGGUCUACUCCCUCAAGGGCAGUCAACACCCUAGCUUGUUCCAAAGCUUCAUUGUUCCCAGCAUGUAAUACAAGAUGACAUAGGAGAAUCAAUCCAUGAAACUGUGCCCGUUCAUUCCCUCUCAGCAAUCUCAUCAAAGGUAGUACACCAUUGAACUCCACUAUUGCCUUUGAAUGAGCAUCACACAGAAAAUUCUCUGAACAAGUGAACUUCCCCAGUGCAAUGGCAGCUUCUGUUGCCACUUCCUGGCUCCUACUACUAAGCUGGGCAACUAAAGGACCGAUAACUCGAGUUUCCCUAGCCGGAAAAGUUCUAGCCAAUGAACCAAUCGAUCUUAUGGCUGGAAUUUGCAACUUUGGACUGUCCGAUUCUUUAAUCGCCCUCAAGAGCUGAUCAAUAACUGCCUUGGCAGCAGGGGAAUUAGUCUUAAAAGCUGCACGUCUAAGGUCGGCAUUGGAUUCAGCUGCCGCAGUUAUCUCCUUUAUAGUCAUCAAGCAAUUGUAUUGCAAUUCCCCUUCUUCCAUCUCGACCAAUUUCGCCAAACAAAGCAACCCUUUUGUCUCUGUUAUUCUCUUACUAUUUGACACACUUCCCCUAGCAAGCAUCCACAAAGCCUCUGCACAACUAAUUUUCAACUUAAGCUUUACUUCAGGCUUCUCAUUUUCCCUCCCUUUCCUAUUUCCACCUCUACUACUCCCCUCCGAGUGAAAACUGGAAAACGAAGUCAUAUAUGGCCUAUAAUGAUGGUUAUUCUUCGACCCAUUUAUCGAAUUUUUCUCCAUUUCUUUGUUAAUCUGAAUGAUAGAAUGAAUACUCUGCUUACCCAACUGAACCAUUUGGUCAUCAGAGAAAGUCUCGAAAGAUAGCAGCGUGACAAGCGGUCGAAUUACAUUCUCCCUUGCGAAAUCAUCCUGCGCAACGGAAUCGUUUUCUGCCAUUCUUGCCACCAAACUGGCCGUCAGAGUCUGAACCCUCAUUGGAGAAUCUGCCAGAACCUUCACUACAAUGGGAACCCCUUGUUCAUUCACAAUAGUCGUUACCCUCUCCUGAUCAUUAGCCAAGUACAGAAGCGCAGUGGCACCCGCAAUUUGCGCCUCCGGCGAAUCAGUCUCCUUUAACAGCUUCAACAGCGGCGGAACGCCGGCUUCUUCCACUAUAAUUUGCUUGUUUCGAUCAUUAUCUUGGGCAAGCUGGGCUAGUUGAUUAGCAGCUUCAAUUUUUUCAGGUAAUGGGCGGACAUGAAUAGAAGCGAUAGAGGACCAAACCCAAGCGAGAAUUGGAUCGUUGCUUGCAAUUGGCGGAAGAGUAAGAUCAAUACCAACAUCCUCACCCGCAGCGCCAUUUCCGAAGCCUAAGAUACUCUCGAGCCAUUUCACGUCACCAACAGAAGCUUCAAGGAGAUUUUGCACUUUCCUGAAAUCAGUGGCGCUGAUGAUCGUAACAACCCGGCGCAGCACAUUCCGGCGCUUACACUUGCGUACUAGGGUUAGGGCACGGUCGAGAUUCUUGAAAACCUCGGCGAUAAUCCGACGAACAGGCCGCUCAUAGAACGAUUGAGCAGAACAGGUGAAGCGGACAAGUAACCGCAGCUUCUCAGCGAGCAUAUCGGUGUAAUUGCCGAUGGUACUACACUCUAACUUGAAGGAAUCAGCCUCCUCAACAGCGGAGCGGACUCGCUCGGCGAGUAGGAUCGGGUAACUGAGUUCCUCGCCGAUUCGCUUCUCUUCCAUGAGAAGGUCAGGUGGGGUGCGUCGGUGACUGAGUAGUUGAAUGAAAUCGGCAAGGGGGUUUAGUGUUGUACCUUGUUUGGAUUGGGGGAAAGUGUAGGGAUAGUCAGAGAAAGAGAGGAAGGAAAGGGAAGGAGGGUAUGAUGAUGGAUCAUUUGGGUAUUAUGGUUGGUUGGUUGGUUGGUUGAUUGGUUCAUUCUUUGGUCGCAUGUUUGCGUUGUGUGGGUUAUUUGAUUUUCCUGGGGAAUUGUGUUAAUGCUUGUUUGUUUACUCUCUCUCUCUUUCUUCUUAGACUGAAUGGAAAGCGCGUGGAACGGAAGAAAAAGAGUAAAAGACAAGUCAAAAAAGAAGCCUGGAAAUUGGAAGGAAGGAAAUAUAACAGUCGCCAGCGUAACCCUAAUUGAAAAGGCUGGGGAAGUGGAAAAUUUUAGGGCAUUGUUUGGUUGGAAAAGUAGAGUAAAAAUGUAAAAUUUUAUGAGAAGUCUUGUACUCUUAUUUGGUUUAUAUUAUCAAAUUAAUUUU
Molecule: unclassified non-coding RNA, 2380 nt
Filed under: Hevea brasiliensis (rubber tree)
Lineage: Eukaryota; Viridiplantae; Streptophyta; Magnoliopsida; Malpighiales; Euphorbiaceae
Source: RNAcentral